AUGAAUCUGUUUGUGUGGAACUGUCGCGGGCUUGGGAACCCGGAGACAGUUCGAGAGCUCCACCAUCUGGUGAGAGUGGAAGCGCGCGCCUUGGUCUUUGUCUCUGAAACAAAGAUCGAGGGUUCUAGAGUGGCAGACUUGACUAAACGGUUGGGUUGUGCCGGGUGUGUGCCCGUAAGCAGUUCUGGCUUAAGUGGUGGAUUGGCCUUAUUUUGGUCACAUGAA
RNAcentral lists this ribosomal RNA (225 nucleotides) under Triticum aestivum (bread wheat). RNAcentral describes it as "partial small subunit ribosomal RNA". The record is from RNAcentral. Lineage: Eukaryota; Viridiplantae; Streptophyta; Magnoliopsida; Poales; Poaceae.